GACGAACGCUGGCGGCGUGCUUAACACAUGCAAGUCGAACGGAAAGGCCCUGCUUUUGUGGGGUGCUCGAGUGGCGAACGGGUGAGUAACACGUGAGUAACCUGCCCUUGACUUUGGGAUAACUUCAGGAAACUGGGGCUAAUACCGGAUAGGAGCUCCUGCUGCAUGGUGGGGGUUGGAAAGUUUCGGCGGUUGGGGAUGGACUCGCGGCUUAUCAGCUUGUUGGUGGGGUAGUGGCUUACCAAGGCUUUGACGGGUAGCCGACCUGAGAGGGUGACCGGCCACAUUGGGACUGAGAGACGGCCCAGACUCCUACGGGAGGCAGCAGUGGGGAAUAUUGCACAAUGGGCGGAAGCCUGAUGCAGCAACGCCGCGUGCGGGAUGACGGCCUUCGGGUUGUAAACCGCUUUCGCCUGUGACGAAGCGUGAGUGACGGUAAUGGGUAAAGAAGCACCGGCUAACUACGUG
RNAcentral lists this ribosomal RNA (468 nucleotides) under uncultured bacterium. RNAcentral's name for it is "partial 16S ribosomal RNA". It matches the Rfam family "Bacterial small subunit ribosomal RNA", at positions 28 to 507 of the family's 1533-position model. The record is from RNAcentral.